Molecule: long non-coding RNA, 1460 nt
Filed under: Cyanistes caeruleus (blue tit)
Lineage: Eukaryota; Metazoa; Chordata; Aves; Passeriformes; Paridae
Description: lncRNA (ENSCCEG00000006847.1)
Source: RNAcentral
GGAAGGUCAAUGAAAGGUCAAUGGAAGGUCAUGGAAGGUCAUGGAAGGUCAUGGAAGGCCAUGGAAGGGCGUGGAAGGUCAUGGAAAUUCAAUGGAAGGUCAUGGAAGGUCAUGGAAGGUCAUGGAAGGUCAAUGGAAAUGCUUUGAGAUCAAUGGAAGGUCAAUGGGAGGUCAUGGAAGGUCAUGGAAGGUCAUGGAAGGUCACAGAAGGUCACGGAAGGUCAUGGAAGGUCAAUGGAAAUGCUUUGAGAUCAAUGGAAGGUCAUGGAAGGGCGUGGAAGGUCAUGGAAGGCCAUGGAAGGUCAUGGAAGGUCAAUGGAAGGGCGUGGAAGGUCACAGAAGGUCAUGGAAGGUCAUGGAAGGUCAUGGAAGGUCAUGGAAGGGCGUGGAAGGUCAAUGGAAGGUCAUGGAAGGUCACAGAAGGUCACAGAAGGUCAUGGAAGGUCAUGGAAGGCCAUGGAAGGUCACAGAAGGUCAUGGAAGGGCGUGGAAGGUCAAUGGAAGGUCCUGGAAGGGCGUGGAAAGUCUUUGAGAUCAAUGGAAGAUCAUGGAAGGUCAUGGAAGGUCAUGAAAGGGCAUGUAAGGUCAUGGAAGAUCAAAGGAAAGCUUUCAAGGUCCUGGCAGCUCAAACCUCAACCCCAAUUCCCAUAUCCAGGUCCUGGCAGCUCAAUCCUUGCCCCCAGGUCCUGGCAGCUCCCCCCAGGUCCUGUCAGCUCAAAACCUCAGUUCCCAGGUCCUGGCAGCUCAAUCCUCAGUUCCCAGGUCCUGUCAGCUCAAUCCUUGCCCCCAGGUCCUGUCAGCUCAAACCUCAGUUCCCAGGUCCUGGCAGCUCCAACCUCAGUUCCCAGGUCCUGGCAGCCCCAUAUCAAGGUCCUGUCAGCUCAGAGCACCCCCCAGGUCCUGUCAGCUCCCCCCAGGUCCUGGCAGCUCAAUCCUUGCCCCCAGGUCCUGGCAGCUCACCGCUCAGUUCCCAGGUCCUGUCAGCCUCAUAUCCAGGUCCUGGCAGCUCAAUCCUCAGUUCCCAGGUCCUGGCAGCUCAAUCCUUGCCCCCAGGUCCUGUCAGCUCAAAAACCUCAGUUCCCAGGUCCUGUCAGCUCAAACCUCAGUUCCCAGGUCCUGGCAGCUCUCGGCAGGUCCUGGCAGCCCCAUAUCCAGGUCCUGGCAGCUCAAACCUCAGUUCCCAGGUCCUGGCAGCUCAGAGCACCCCCAGGUCCUGUCAGCUCCCCCCAGGUCCUGUCAGCUCACCGCUCAGGUCGUCGCCGCGGUGCGUCCAUGGCUCGGCGCCGUCGAAGUGCGUGUCCCCUCCGAUGUGUGGCCCGGGGAAGAAGGUCCUGGCAGCUCAAACCCCCAUUCCCAAUCCCCAAACCCCAUAUCCAGGUCCUGGCAGCUCCAAACCAACCCAUUCCCAAUCCCAAUUCCCAUAUCCAGGUCCUGGCAGCUCAAACCCCCAUUCCCAAUCC